Molecule: ribosomal RNA, 253 nt
Filed under: uncultured bacterium
Lineage: Bacteria
Description: partial 16S ribosomal RNA
Rfam family: Bacterial small subunit ribosomal RNA
Source: RNAcentral
UACGUAGGGUGCGAGCGUUGUCCGGAAUUAUUGGGCGUAAAGAGCUUGUAGGCGGUUUGUCGCGUCUGCUGUGAAAUUUCGGGGCUCAACCCCGAACUUGCAGUGGGUACGGGCAGACUAGAGUGUGGUAGGGGAGACUGGAAUUCCUGGUGUAGCGGUGAAAUGCGCAGAUAUCAGGAGGAACACCGGUGGCGAAGGCGGGUCUCUGGGCAAUAACUGACGCUGAGGAGCGAAAGCGUGGGGAGCGAACAGG